Molecule: long non-coding RNA, 757 nt
Filed under: Homo sapiens (human)
Lineage: Eukaryota; Metazoa; Chordata; Mammalia; Primates; Hominidae
Description: HSALNT0370258
Source: RNAcentral
CUCCACAGGUCCCGUGGGAAGAUGUCCGUUAUCUCUUUGAUGAGAUCAUGUAUGGAGGCCACAUCACAGAUGACGGGGAUUGCAAACUGUGUCGGGUGUAUUUAGAAGAAUUCAUGAAUCCAUCUCUGCUAGCUGCCCUGUCAGGAACACAUGCAUGUGGUGAAAAACCGAGACUUCCAGCCAACAGCCAUGUGAGCGAGCCAUCUUGGAAGUGGAUCCUCCAGCCCCAGUCAAGCCUUCAGAUGACUGCAGCUUUGGCCAACAUCUUGACUGCAACUUCCUGAGAGACCCUGAGCAAGAAUCACACCAUGAAGAUGUUCCUAGUUUUCUGAUUCUCAGAAACUGGAGACAGGGUUUCAGCAUGUUUGCUAAGCUGGUCUCGAACUCCUGACCUCAAGUGAUCCACCCGCCUCAGCCUCCCAAAGUGGUGGGAUUACAGGUGUGAGCCACCGCACCUGGCCAGUUGCAUCUUGAAUGCUGCCAUGUGAAGAAGGACAUGUUUGCUUCCACUUCUGCCACGAUUGAAGGACAUGAAGAGAGGAAGGGCUGGUGGAGAGAAUGCAGAGUAGUCAUAAGACACGAGCCUCCUCUGAUGGUCGACUUUGCCUUGAGAACUCAGAUGACCUUGCCAGAAUCUUCUUAGAUAGCUUGGAACUCUAGAACAUUUCUACUCACCCUUCUUCCUUCUCCCAUUCACUCAAGGCCAGACCUGCAAUGUGAUCUGACAACUCCCAGCCUUACAAGGUUCUCUUCCAAU